CCUUAAUAAAGAAAAAAAAUCAAAAACAAAAAAAAGAAAUGGAAAUUAAGCUGGUGACCCAGAAGAUCCAUCUGCAGUACAACUAGAUGACUGGAAUGGUACUUGGUGUCACUCCUAAAUUCUAAAUAGUUCAGGAAACAACAAUCUUGGAUCUUGGGAGUAGAGAAAGGUAUGCUGAGGCUUAAAAUGCUGCAGAAAGGUUUUGACUCUAAAGACUUGGCACAUAGUAGGCCGUAACAACCAUGGGUUCCAGAAUAAAUGAAUGAGGUAUUUGCUACAAGAGACAGUCUCCUCCCCACUCAAUUUAAGCCUCUGGUCACAGUGGCUUGGUCCCGCCCAUUCACUGAUCUAACAGCUACCAGGCUCCUAUCUUGGAUCUGGACCAGUUGGAAUCACAAGCAUAGAUUCAGUUCAGGCCCUUAGGAGCACUCAGUCUGGAAGGGGAAGGUAACAGGCAGUGGCUAGGCAACAGGCCUCCCCUGGUCUGAGGCAUUAUGGGAUGCAGGUGCCUCCCAUAUUUUGGAAAGAAGAAAUACAUACACUAACAAAGGGUUGGUUUCCUUUUUCUCCUUUUAGCCUAGGCCUGCCUGGAAGACGGAACCAUAUCUUCUAGUCUCUGUUCAGCCCCUAGCACCACUUUGCUUGAUUCCCAGGAAAUCCUGUCAUACCUGAGAGCUUACUCAGGUUGUUUGCACUCCAUUGGCAUUUUAAAUUCCAGAUUGGCAAGGACCCUUGAGGUUGCCCAUCUUCCCCUUUUCCAUGGGUGGAAAACUGAUGCCCAGGCAGUAGAGUGGGGAUGCCUGAUUUCCACUCUCCUUAUAUGCUGGCUGCUAUUCUAAUUCUUUCAGUAGAUCUUUCUGUCUCCCCUGCGUAACUGAGCUGUGGAGGUCAAGAAAUGAAUUCUGUCCAUUUCUGUCUCCCUCUCACAGUAGGCAUCACAAAUAGGUUAAGGAAAUGAAGGAUCACUAAAUGUUACUGAUCCCAGAAGCAGCUAUAGCUGGGCCUCAGUUUCCCAUCAGCAGCAGAGUUUCAGGAAGCGGGGAGGUAGCCUCAAGCUCCUCAGUGCCUGCGGGGUGUGCAGUGUGUUCUUAGUGUUCUUCAGCUAGUGAAGGCCACAGCUCCUGGAGUUGGAGGACGGGAAGAGAGGUCCAUCCCGAGGGCAGGCUGCAUGCUGCAAACUCAGCCCAGUUUGCCUGUGGUGGCGACUCCCAUCUGCUUUUAGCACUUCCUCUUCUCCUGCGAGGCCUCCACCUCUUCCCCAGGGCCGUGCUCUCGGCCAGCUGCAGUGGGUAGCUUUCCUGUAUAGCUUUGAGCUCCUUCAGGGCAGGAGACUAGCACAGGCUAAGCAAGAAAAAAGGUUGAGCAGAUGAGUGAGUCAUAGAGGUGUCGAGGACCACAGUGGACUAGCCCAAAUGGAGCACCUUAAGGGUGGAAUUAGUGAUAACCUGUCCGCUCGAGUCAGAUGUUUGAUAGUAGGACCAUGAGUAUGUGCUUCUUGUCACCUGCAGCUUGAGGAACUCCAAGGGCCAACAGAGUAUAUUAUUCACCAACAUCUUCUUCCCAGAAGUUGAAUAUAUUCCUGGUGUCACACGUAGGACAGACAUAACUCUAAGGACAAAUGUCUUGUCUAGACUCAUACAGACACAGAAUGGAUGAGGCUUCAAACCCAUCCUAGAGGGGACUGCCCCUCCGGAGGCCUAGAAAGAGUCUGAGCUGGUUCACAUCUUGGCUGCUACUCCAAGCUGUGGGACCUUGAGUUCACUUCACUUGAACUGUAGUUUCCUCACCUAUGACAUGGGAGUGAUGUACCCACCCAUGGGGUUGAGGACAAGAGUGAAGGCACUGGAAGCGCCCCGUCCCGAAGGCCUUGUCGUCCAAGACCUAACUCGCUGCCUCCCAACCUGUCUGAAGAAGAAACUCGCAGAAUCGCACGGAUAUUUUCUUCCCAGUACUCCCAGAAAGACUAACGCAGCCUGAGAGACUGAAGGAAGGAGCCCCUGCCCACCGCCCUCAGCCUCGUCCAGCUUGCAGGAGUGCCAGGUCUCCUCUCUGGGCUGUCAGAGUCCUGAAACCACUAGGCUAGUUCAUGGGCACCCCGAGCCCCAGACAGCAUAGACAGUGAGAGCGUCCAAACCGGCCCCUUGUCCACCUGCAAGGACUUCGGCUUCUUCCUGAUAUAUUGAGGCAAAGACUAGAAACGGAAUGGAUUCCAGCACCCAACUGGCCCACUUGUCUUUUGAAGGGACCCACUCAGGCAUCUUUUGGCUGAGAAACUCCUCCCAAUGUCCUUGACACAGCGUACUGCUGGCAUGAGCUCACUCUCUGCCCGUGAUGGGCCAUUUCUGCCUUAAAGGUGUUGGGGGAAGGUGUAGACUGUAUGCAUUGUGCAUAAAUGAGGAAAUGCUACACCACCUUCAGUUCAUUUGCUUGGGAAUAAGGAUAUUUUAUAGAUCUAAAUUAUUUUAUGCUGUGUUGAAUUAGUAGGAGAGGAGGGGGAAAUCACCUCCUUCAAACAUUUUAUCUGAUUGUCUGAAAUUCUAACCAUGCUUUUAACUUAUUGUUUUUACCCAGCUCUGAAGGUCAUUGUUCCUGCCUGUGUUUGAAUAAAAUCAUAUUGGUAUUUGUA
Myotis lucifugus (little brown bat) is the source of this 2626-nucleotide long non-coding RNA. RefSeq lists it as uncharacterized. The record is from RefSeq and is a predicted model, not a curated record. NCBI's taxonomy places the organism in Eukaryota, Metazoa, Chordata, Mammalia, Chiroptera, Vespertilionidae. The transcript is spliced from 2 exons.